AAUGAACGCUGGCGGCGUGCCUAAUACAUGCAAGUCGAACGCUGGAGAUCUAGCUUGCUAGAUCGAAGGAGUGGCGAACGGGUGAGUAAUACAUAAGCAACCUACCCACGAAGACUGGGAUAAUCUCUGGAAACGGGGACUAAUACCGGAUAGGUAAUCGGAAGGCAUCUUCUGGUUAUUAAAGGUUAAAAACACUGGUGGAUGGGCUUAUGGCGCAUUAGUUAGUUGGUGAGGUAACGGCCCACCAAGACGAUGAUGCGUAGCCGGCCUGAGAGGGUGAACGGCCACAUUGGGACUGAGACACGGCCCAGACUCCUACGGGAGGCAGCAGUAGGGAAUUUUCGGCAAUGGGGGCAACCCUGACCGAGCAACGCCGCGUGAGUGAAGACGGCCUUCGGGUUGUAAAGCUCUGUUGUAAGGGAAGAACGGUAGAUAGAGAAUAUCUAAGUGACGGUACCUUACCAGAAAGCCACGGCUAACUACGUG
RNAcentral lists this ribosomal RNA (486 nucleotides) under uncultured bacterium. RNAcentral describes it as "partial 16S ribosomal RNA". It matches the Rfam family "Bacterial small subunit ribosomal RNA", at positions 29 to 507 of the family's 1533-position model. The record is from RNAcentral.